GACGAACGCUGGCGGCGUGCCUAACACAUGCAAGUUGAGCGACGAACCAGGGCUUGCCCUGGGGCAAAGCAGCGAACGGGUGAGUAACACGUGGGUAACCUACCCCGAUAACCGGGACAACCCGAGGAAACUCGGGCUAAUACCGGAUGUGCUCACUGGACUUCGGUUCAGUGCGUAAAGGAAGCUUCGGCCUCCGUAUCGGGAGGGGCCCGCGGCCCAUUAGUUUGUUGGUGAGGUAACGGCUCACCAAGACCGCGAUGGGUAGCUGGUCUGAGAGGACGAUCAGCCACACUGGGACUGAGACACGGCCCAGACUCCUACGGGUGGCAGCAGUGGGGAAUCUUGCGCAAUGCGCGAAAGCGUGACGCAGCAACGCCGCGUGGGGGAAGAAGGCCUUCGGGUUGUAAACCCCUUUCAGGAGGGACGAAGGUUCGGCGGUGAAUAGCCGUCCGGACUGACGGUACCUCCACAAGAAGCCCCGGCUAACUACGUG
This 493-nucleotide ribosomal RNA is filed under the name uncultured bacterium. Its description in RNAcentral is "partial 16S ribosomal RNA". It matches the Rfam family "Bacterial small subunit ribosomal RNA", at positions 28 to 507 of the family's 1533-position model. The record is from RNAcentral.